GACGAACGCUGGCGGCGUGCUUAACACAUGCAAGUCGAACGGAAAGGCCCUGCUUUUGUGGGGUGCUCGAGUGGCGAACGGGUGAGUAACACGUGAGUAACCUGCCCUUGACUUUGGGAUAACUUCAGGAAACUGGGGCUAAUAUCGGAUAGGAGCUCCUGCUGCAUGGUGGUGGUUGGUAAGUUUCGGCGGUUGGGGAUGGACUCGGGGGUUAUCCGCUUGUUGGUGUGGUAGUGGCUUACCAAGGGUUUGACGGGUAGCCGGCCUGAGAGGGUGGCCAGCCACAUGGGGACUAGGAUACGGCCCAGACUCCUACGGGAGGCAGCAGUGGGGAAUAUUGCACAAUGGGCGGAAGCCUGAUGCAGCAACGCCGCGUGCGGGAUGACGGCCUUCGGGUUGUAAACCGCUUUCGCCUGUGACGAAGCGUGAGUGACGGUAAUGGGUAAAGAAGCACCGGCUAACUACGUG
Molecule: ribosomal RNA, 468 nt
Filed under: uncultured bacterium
Lineage: Bacteria
Description: partial 16S ribosomal RNA
Rfam family: Bacterial small subunit ribosomal RNA
Source: RNAcentral